This 21-nucleotide non-coding RNA is filed under the name Arabidopsis thaliana (thale cress). Lineage: Eukaryota; Viridiplantae; Streptophyta; Magnoliopsida; Brassicales; Brassicaceae. The record is from RNAcentral.
UAGAACGUGCCAAAUUAUCCA